AGACAGGCAGAUACAGCACGCCGGGUCACCCUCUGCAAAUACAGUUUCCCAGAUGUGAUGAUGCCCUCCUACUCCCGGAACCCCUGGUCCUGCGUCUUCUUUAUCGUGUACCUCUCCAUCGAGCUGUAUUUCAUCAUGAACCUGCUUCUGGCUGUGGUGUUCGACACCUUCAACGACAUUGAGAAACGCAAGUUCAAGUCUUUGCUACUGCACAAGCGAACCGCUAUCCAGCAUGCCU
This 238-nucleotide long non-coding RNA is filed under the name Pan troglodytes (chimpanzee). RNAcentral describes it as "long non-coding RNA NONPTRT003659". The record is from RNAcentral. Lineage: Eukaryota; Metazoa; Chordata; Mammalia; Primates; Hominidae.